Molecule: ribosomal RNA, 505 nt
Filed under: uncultured bacterium
Lineage: Bacteria
Description: partial 16S ribosomal RNA
Rfam family: Bacterial small subunit ribosomal RNA
Source: RNAcentral
GACGAACGCUGGCGGCGUGCCUAAUACAUGCAAGUAGAACGCACAGUUUAUACCGUAGCUUGCUACACCAUAGACUGUGAGUUGCGAACGGGUGAGUAACGCGUAGGUAACCUGCCUGGUAGCGGGGGAUAACUAUUGGAAACGAUAGCUAAUACCGCAUAAUAUUAAUUAUUGCAUGAUAAUUAAUUGAAAGGUGCAAUUGCACCACUACCAGAUGGACCUACGUUGUAUUAGCUAGUAGGUGAGGUAACGGCUCACCUAGGCGACGAUACAUAGCCGACCUGAGAGGGUGAUCGGCCACACUGGGACUGAGACACGGCCCAGACUCCUACGGGAGGCAGCAGUAGGGAAUCUUCGGCAAUGGACGAAAGUCUGACCGAGCAACGCCGCGUGAGUGAAGAAGGUUUUCGGAUCGUAAAGCUCUGUUGUAAGAGAAGAACGGGUGUGAGAGUGGAAAGUUCACACUGUGACGGUAUCUUACCAGAAAGGGACGGCUAACUACGUG